This 465-nucleotide ribosomal RNA is filed under the name uncultured bacterium. RNAcentral describes it as "partial 16S ribosomal RNA". It matches the Rfam family "Bacterial small subunit ribosomal RNA", at positions 339 to 795 of the family's 1533-position model. The record is from RNAcentral.
CUGCGGGGGGCUCCAGUGAGGAAUUUUGCGCAAUGGGGGAAACCCUGACGCAGCAACGCCGCGUGAGUGAUGAAGGCCUUCGGGUCGUAAAACUCUGUCAAGUGGGAAGAACCUGCAUGGUGCUAAUAUCGCCAUGUACUGACGGUACCACUGAAGGAAGCACCGGCUAACUCCGUGCCAGCAGCCGCGGUAAUACGGAGGGUGCAAGCGUUAUUCGGAAUUAUUGGGCGUAAAGGGCGCGUAGGCGGCCAUGUAAGUCAGAUGUGAAAGCCCGGGGCUCAACCCCGGAAGUGCAUUUGAUACUGGAUGGCUUGAGUAUGGGAGAGGGUAGUGGAAUUCCUGGUGUAGAGGUGAAAUUCGUAGAUAUCAGGAGGAACACCGGUGGCGAAGGCGACUACCUGGACCAAUACUGACGCUGAGGCGCGAAGGCGUGGGGAGCAAACAGGAUUAGAUACCCCUGUAGUC